Molecule: ribosomal RNA, 441 nt
Filed under: uncultured bacterium
Lineage: Bacteria
Description: bacterial SSU rRNA
Rfam family: Bacterial small subunit ribosomal RNA
Source: RNAcentral
CUACGGAAGGCAGCAGUAGGGAAUAUUGCAUAAUGGGCGAAAGCCUGAUGCAGCAACGCCGCGUGCGCGAUGAAGGCCUUCGGGUCGUAAAGCGCUUUUCAGAGGGAUGAGGAAGGACAGUACCUCUGGAAUAAGUCUCGGCUAACUACGUGCCAGCAGCCGCGGUAAAACGUAGGAGGCGAGCGUUAUCCGGAUUUACUGGGCGUAAAGCGUGUGUAGGCGGUUUGGAAAGUUGGAUGUGAAAGCUCCUGGCUCAACUGGGAGAGGUCGUUCAAUACUUCCAGACUAGAGUAUGGUAGAGGGAGGUGGAAUUCCGGGUGUAGUGGUGAAAUGCGUAGAUAUCCGGAGGAACACCAGUGGCGAAAGCGGCCUCCUGGACCAUUUCUGACGCUCAGACACGAAAGCUAGGGUAGCAAACGGGAUUAGAUACCCCAGUAGUCG